CCUACGGGAGGCAGCAGUGAGGAAUAUUGGUCAAUGGACGAGAGUCUGAACCAGCCAAGUAGCGUGAAGGAUGACUGCCCUAUGGGUUGUAAACUUCUUUUAUAUGGGAAUAAAAUGUUCCACGUGUGGGAUUUUGUAUGUACCAUAUGAAUAAGGAUCGGCUAACUCCGUGCCAGCAGCCGCGGUAAUACGGAGGAUCCGAGCGUUAUCCGGAUUUAUUGGGGUUAAAGGGAGCGUAGGUGGAUUGUUAAGUCAGUUGUGAAAGUUUGCGGCUCAACCGUAAAAUUGCAGUUGAAACUGGCAGUCUUGAGUACAGUAGAGGUGGGCGGAAUUCGUGGUGUAGCGGUGAAAUGCUUAGAUAUCACGAAGAACUCCGAUUGCGAAGGCAGUUCACUGGACUGUAACUGACACUGAGGCUCGAAAGUGUGGGUAUCAAACAGGAUUAGAUACCCUAGUAGUC
This 460-nucleotide ribosomal RNA is filed under the name uncultured bacterium. RNAcentral describes it as "partial 16S ribosomal RNA". It matches the Rfam family "Bacterial small subunit ribosomal RNA", at positions 338 to 795 of the family's 1533-position model. The record is from RNAcentral.